CACACAAUGCUGAUCAAAGUGGAGGCCCUCUGCAAUCCUUGACUGGAAAGUGCGUCUUCCAUUUUGUUUGUAU
This 73-nucleotide microRNA precursor is filed under the name Nannospalax galili (Upper Galilee mountains blind mole rat). RNAcentral's name for it is "miRNA (ENSNGAG00000001656.1)". The record is from RNAcentral. Lineage: Eukaryota; Metazoa; Chordata; Mammalia; Rodentia; Spalacidae.